RNAcentral lists this unclassified non-coding RNA (564 nucleotides) under Adeia whitneyi. Its description in RNAcentral is "Hazardia whitneyi partial external transcribed spacer". Lineage: Eukaryota; Viridiplantae; Streptophyta; Magnoliopsida; Asterales; Asteraceae. The record is from RNAcentral.
AUUCUUCUGGCGGGUUUCGUUCUCUUCGUAUCGUGCGGUGCAUUUUGGGGUCGUACAUGGCUUUCUAUUGCUUGCUUGGCUUUCUAGCCUUGCAGGUGGUUGAUUGGCAUUUCGGCUUCGGGGAUGUCUACCGUAAAGGUGCAUGAGUGGUGUUUGGUUUGAUACGGGUGGUCGGCUCCCUGCUUGAGCAGGCACGGCCACGCGUGCAUUCCUUUUCAGCUGUGCGGCAAGGCUUGUAUCGUCUUGAUCGUAUAAGUGGGUUUCCUGUGUUGCAUACCUGAUCAAUGGCAUCGUUUCGAUCAAAAGCGUACCUUUUUCGUCUAGUGUUGCAUCCGCACCAUUGGAUGAACCGUGUAGCAAUCUCUUUGAUCCAUACAAUUGAUGUUCAUUCGUUGAUUGUUUGGCCCAUUGAGUGUGUCUUGGUCCCUUGAAUAUGGAAGCCAAAGUGGGCAUGCGAUCGCAAGAUCUGUUUAGUGCCCUUAUUGAGCGUUCUCGCUUCUCUUACACGACUGCCUCUCACGUAUGGCACGUCCCAGCGUGUUUGGCUAUGUCGAAGAGGAAUGU